This 30-nucleotide unclassified non-coding RNA is filed under the name Latilactobacillus sakei. Its description in RNAcentral is "Lactobacillus sakei SNORD72". The record is from RNAcentral. Lineage: Bacteria; Bacillati; Bacillota; Bacilli; Lactobacillales; Lactobacillaceae.
AGGUGACCUGAUUAAAUAUGAGGAGGCGCU